Molecule: ribosomal RNA, 483 nt
Filed under: uncultured bacterium
Lineage: Bacteria
Description: partial 16S ribosomal RNA
Rfam family: Bacterial small subunit ribosomal RNA
Source: RNAcentral
GACGAACGCUGGCGGCGUGCUUAACACAUGCAAGUCGAACGCUGAAGCUCAGCUUUUGUUGGGUGGAUGAGUGGCGAACGGGUGAGUAACACGAGAGUAACCUGCCUCCUUCUUUGGGAUAACGCCCGGAAACGGGUGCUAAUACUGGAUAUUCACUGGUCUUCGCAUGGGGGUUGGUGGAAAGGGUUUUUCUGGUGGGGGAUGGGCUCGCGGCCUAUCAGCUUGUUGGUGGGGUGAUGGCCUACCAAGGCUUUGACGGGUAGCCGGCCUGAGAGGGUGACCGGUCACAUUGGGACUGAGAUACGGCCCAGACUCCUACGGGAGGCAGCAGUGGGGAAUAUUGCACAAUGGGCGCAAGCCUGAUGCAGCGACGCCGCGUGAGGGAUGGAGGCCUUCGGGUUGUGAACCUCUUUCGCUCAUGGUCAAGCCGCAACAAUGGUUGUGGUGAGGGUAGUGGGUAAAGAAGCGCCGGCUAACUACGUG